This 253-nucleotide ribosomal RNA is filed under the name uncultured bacterium. Its description in RNAcentral is "partial 16S ribosomal RNA". It matches the Rfam family "Bacterial small subunit ribosomal RNA", at positions 524 to 776 of the family's 1533-position model. The record is from RNAcentral.
UACGUAGGGGGCAAGCGUUGUCCGGAAUUAUUGGGCGUAAAGAGCGUGUAGGCGGCCAGAUAAGUCCGCUGUGAAAUCUCGAGGCUCAACUUCGAGCUGGCGGUGGAAACUAUCUGGCUAGAGUCCGGAAGAGGAGAAUGGAAUUCCUGGUGUAGCGGUGAAAUGCGCAGAUAUCAGGAAGAACACCCGUGGCGAAGGCGGUUCUCUGGGACGGUACUGACGCUGAGACGCGAAAGCGUGGGGAGCGAACAGG